Molecule: long non-coding RNA, 1741 nt
Filed under: Anas platyrhynchos platyrhynchos (common mallard)
Lineage: Eukaryota; Metazoa; Chordata; Aves; Anseriformes; Anatidae
Description: lncRNA (ENSAPLG00000029675.1)
Source: RNAcentral
GGCGGCGGCGCCGUGGGGAGGGCGGCGGCAGGUGCCUGCGGGAGCAGCCGCGCUCUGCCGCGCAGCCCCAGAGGCAUCUGGGCUGCGAAGUUUGCCCCCCUUCAACUCCGCUCGCGAAGCGGCCGGGCUCGCAGCCGGCUGCGGCGGGAGGGGGGCGGGAGGGGGGGAGGAGGGAUGGAGGGAGGGAGGGAGGGAUGGAUGGAUGGAGGGAGGGAGGGACGGGGAGGCGAGGCGAGGCGAGGCAAGGCAGGCGGCGGCGCUGAGCUCAGUUCACGCUCGGAGAGCGGCUUCACUCCUGCCCGCGGCGGAGGCGCUCCCCCACCCCCCACCCACCCUCCAUCUCCUCCUCCCCAGCCCUCCCGGUGGCAGCCCAGCAGCGGACACCCCUCGCCUUGGGGGUCCCCCGCGGGAGGUGCGGCUCUGCCGCUUUGUCUGUUCCAGCGCGGUGGAGGCGCCUUCACAACCCCCUACCCACCCACAGUCCCCCGACCCCUUUGUCUCGGCAGGACGCCCCUCCGCGCCCACCCUCCCGGAGCUCCCCCGCAGGCGGGGAGCGGGGCACAGCGUGGGGCUCAGUGCGGAGCCCGCAGCCCCCGCCCGUGGGUGCGGAGCGGAGCCGGCGCGGCCACAGCCCGGUGGCGGCGCGGGGCGCGCUGCUGCCGCCUGCCGGGCUCGGAGGGAGGUGCAGGGGGAAGCCGCCGGCCCAGCCUCCGCGGCAGCCGCCGCCGGCACCGGGGAGAGCUCCCGGAGAGCUCCGGGGAGGAGGUGGUCGCCCUGCCAGCCAAAGCUGAGCGCGGUGGAGGGGGAAGGUCUGGAGGGGCUGAUAUGGGAGGCUCGAGGGAUCCGGAGAAGAAGCCUGGAGGUGCAGGGCAACAUCACAAGAGGACCCUGGUGCAUCAGUCAGAUGUCUCCUGUACAACCCAUCUGAAGGAGCUGCAAGCAGUUUCUCAACCACAAGAGCAGUGUCCUGACAAAGAGAGGCAGAAGGAAAGAGGUCUUCCUCGUGAUGAAGCUCCAUUGCUGUGUUUGAAAAUCUGGUACACACAGUGCAGCUCAUAUAGCAGCUCUCAGCUAUAUGAUUAGCUCAGCUCAUUGAGAGUAGGGGAACAGCUUUCAUAGAUCAAGUUUUGCUUACUGGCUUAAAAAGUUUACCAAGUGGCAGUGUCAUAUUUUGUGUCUUGGCAGCCAGGUAACAGCAAACGAUGUUAUGGUCUGUAUAUGCUUCUUGAGGGAGAUCCAUUCCAUUUAUCUUUUUUGAGUGGUGAUUUUCUUCCACUAUAUAGCUGACAGAGACUUGAGAUAGAUUGAAUAUAAGGAGAUGAUAGCAGCAAGAUGUUAUUGUGCUAAAAGAAGAUACAUCCUGAAAAAAAUAUUAACUUUCAGACAACAAAAUAUUUUUAGUUUAGUUGUUAUAAUAACCCCAAACAGUCUUUAUUAUUUUUCAGAUUUACUAUCUCUUUCCAUUGAAGUUAAAUAAUGAAUAUUUAGGUUGUACAAUUUUUUAGGACAGGAAUUAGAUCUUGUAAUGGAAGCUAGCUAUAACAAAGCUAUAAAAAAAACUAUCAACUCAUCACAAAAACUGGGAAGUAAACCUCUUUCCUACUGUCACUAACCUAGCAGAGAGGUUUGAAGGUAGAUUAAGCUUUGAUCUUUAAUUAUGAAUCUUUUUUCUUUAUAGUAAUGAGCUCCUGAAUUUUCUGCCAAGCUGAUUCUUUUGAAGCAACAGUCUCUGAUUACUUUU